UUAAAUUGAAGAGUUUGAUCAUGGCUCAGAUUGAACGCUGGCGGCAGGCCUAACACAUGCAAGUCGAACGGUAACAGGAAGCAGCUUGCUGCUUUGCUGACGAGUGGCGGACGGGUGAGUAAUGUCUGGGAAACUGCCUGAUGGAGGGGGAUAACUACUGGAAACGGUGGCUAAUACCGCAUAACGUCGCAAGACCAAAGAGGGGGACCUUCGGGCCUCUUGCCAUCAGAUGUGCCCAGAUGGGAUUAGCUUGUUGGUGAGGUAACGGCUCACCAAGGCGACGAUCCCUAGCUGGUCUGAGAGGAUGACCAGCCACACUGGAACUGAGACACGGUCCAGACUCCUACGGGAGGCAGCAGUGGGGAAUAUUGCACAAUGGGCGCAAGCCUGAUGCAGCCAUGCCGCGUGUAUGAAGAAGGCCUUCGGGUUGUAAAGUACUUUCAGCGGGGAGGAAGGUGUUGUGGUUAAUAACCACAGCAAUUGACGUUACCCGCAGAAGAAGCACCGGCUAACUCCGUGCCAGCAGCCGCGGUAAUACGGAGGGUGCAAGCGUUAAUCGGAAUUACUGGGCGUAAAGCGCACGCAGGCGGUCUGUCAAGUCGGAUGUGAAAUCCCCGGGCUCAACCUGGGAACUGCAUUCGAAACUGGCAGGCUUGAGUCUUGUAGAGGGGGGUAGAAUUCCAGGUGUAGCGGUGAAAUGCGUAGAGAUCUGGAGGAAUACCGGUGGCGAAGGCGGCCCCCUGGACAAAGACUGACGCUCAGGUGCGAAAGCGUGGGGAGCAAACAGGAUUAGAUACCCUGGUAGUCCACGCCGUAAACGAUGUCUACUUGGAGGUUGUGCCCUUGAGGCGUGGCUUCCGGAGCUAACGCGUUAAGUAGACCGCCUGGGGAGUACGGCCGCAAGGUUAAAACUCAAAUGAAUUGACGGGGGCCCGCACAAGCGGUGGAGCAUGUGGUUUAAUUCGAUGCAACGCGAAGAACCUUACCUGGUCUUGACAUCCACGGAAGUUUUCAGAGAUGAGAAUGUGCCUUCGGGAACCGUGAGACAGGUGCUGCAUGGCUGUCGUCAGCUCGUGUUGUGAAAUGUUGGGUUAAGUCCCGCAACGAGCGCAACCCUUAUCCUUUGUUGCCAGCGGUUAGGCCGGGAACUCAAAGGAGACUGCCAGUGAUAAACUGGAGGAAGGUGGGGAUGACGUCAAGUCAUCAUGGCCCUUACGACCAGGGCUACACACGUGCUACAAUGGCGCAUACAAAGAGAAGCGACCUCGCGAGAGCAAGCGGACCUCAUAAAGUGCGUCGUAGUCCGGAUUGGAGUCUGCAACUCGACUCCAUGAAGUCGGAAUCGCUAGUAAUCGUGGAUCAGAAUGCCACGGUGAAUACGUUCCCGGGCCUUGUACACACCGCCCGUCACACCAUGGGAGUGGGUUGCAAAAGAAGUAGGUAGCUUAACCUUCGGGAGGGCGCUUACCACUUUGUGAUUCAUGACUGGGGUGAAGUCGUAACAAGGUAACCGUAGGGGAACCUGCGGUUGGAUCACCUCCUUACCUUAAAGAAGC
RNAcentral lists this ribosomal RNA (1556 nucleotides) under Salmonella enterica subsp. enterica serovar Heidelberg. RNAcentral's name for it is "bacterial SSU rRNA". It matches the Rfam family "Bacterial small subunit ribosomal RNA". Lineage: Bacteria; Pseudomonadati; Pseudomonadota; Gammaproteobacteria; Enterobacterales; Enterobacteriaceae. The record is from RNAcentral.